CAUACACACGACAAAAAUAGCUAUUUCUGUUUGUUUUGGACGGAAGGGCCUGCCGUACGGGGGCGUGGCCACGCAGCCGCCGUCCGGCCGUCGCGGUUCACGUGCCGGCGGCGGCGGCGGCCGCUCCUGGACCCGUCGUGGCCCGGCCGGGGACUCCGAGCCUCAGCAGCGAGAUAUAUGUUGUUUUGGGAGGAGAUUUCCGCUGCUCUACUCAUGCCGCCAUCUUGGCUCCACCCUUCAAGAAUUACUCGUAGAGCGCCUGGACCAGCUCCACCAGCACCCACGGCUCCGAGACGGCCGCCAUUCCGAGCCGCUCCGGCUUCCUUCCCUGAAGAGACUCUUUAGAGUGUGAUUUUUUUCUAAAUGGAUCUAACUUUGAAACAAAUUCUAAAGAGGUUAACAUAUCUAGUGGGAAAGAAACGUGAUUACUCUGCAUUCUGUUAGUAUAUACUCUGCACUUCAAACAGUGAAUGAAUACGAGGCCAGAAAAUAUUUCCCUGAGAAAUGACAGUUGAGCCAACAUCAGAGGAUAAGAUGUUUAUGAGCUAACUUGGGGAGAAAGACCAUUCAUACCAGAGAAUAUUAUUGCAAGUGUAAAGACUUGGAGGUAGAUGUGAUCCUG
Long non-coding RNA from Manis pentadactyla (Chinese pangolin), 622 nucleotides. RefSeq lists it as uncharacterized. The transcript has 3 exons. Lineage: Eukaryota; Metazoa; Chordata; Mammalia; Pholidota; Manidae. The record is from RefSeq and is a predicted model, not a curated record.